CAGUAGCCGCGGUAAUACGAAGGGUGCAAGCGUUAAUCGGAAUUACUGGGCGUAAAGCGUGCGUAGGCGGUGAGUUAAGUCUGCUGUGAAAUCCCCGGCCUCAACCUGGGAAUGGCAAUGGAUACUGGCAAGCUAGAGUGUGUCAGAGGAUGGUGGAAUUCCCGGUGUAGCGGUGAAAUGCGUAGAGAUCGGGAGGAACAUCAGUGGCGAAGGCGGCCAUCUGGGACAACACUGACGCUGAGGCACGAAAGCGUGGGGAGCAAACAGGAUUAGAGACCCGCGUAGUCCCUGUCUCUUAUAC
This 301-nucleotide ribosomal RNA is filed under the name uncultured bacterium. RNAcentral describes it as "partial 16S ribosomal RNA". It matches the Rfam family "Bacterial small subunit ribosomal RNA", at positions 509 to 807 of the family's 1533-position model. The record is from RNAcentral.